Molecule: long non-coding RNA, 1946 nt
Organism: Quercus lobata
Lineage: Eukaryota; Viridiplantae; Streptophyta; Magnoliopsida; Fagales; Fagaceae
Exons: 2
Source: RefSeq, a predicted model, not a curated record
UUUAAAAAUUAUUUCGCUACAGUGUUUUUUAGUUUUCAGUUUCAGUUUUCAGUUUUCAGCUGUAUCCAAACGCACCAGUGUGCUAAACCAACGCGUCUGCGUUUUUUAGCUAGUCUUAUGGCGCUGUUCAUAGAACAGUCAAAAUACAAAAAUACAUGAACAGUAGCAAUGAACAGUAUUUUGCCUUUUAAAAAUUAUUUUACUACAAUAUUUUCAGUAAUAAGUUUUUUGGGGUCUGGAUAUUGCUACUUUGGUUUGUGAUUUCCUGGAAAUUUUAAAGGCACAUAGUUUUUGUUGUUUAGUUGCAUCUGAGUGCUAUGAAUUUUCCAUUUCUCAUUGGUUAAUUAGCAGACUGGGAUGACUGUCAAACCAUUGAAAUUUCCGAUUCUCCCAGUUCUGAUUUCUGAGCCUUGAGACUAUCAACUGAGACUUAGAAAAAAUAAAAAAGACUACCAUUUCUGAGUCUGAUGAUACUUUGUUUAAUCAUUAAUUUGCUGAACUAUAUAUUUGAACGUCUGAUAUUUCAAGUAAUUACAUCCCAGUGCCCUGUGCUUCUAUCAUUUGCAAUUUUGCUAUAUUGCUUGAACUCUAGUAGAUAUAAUGAUUGCAAAGCAUACCUUUAAUGGGCAUUGGAUGAAGAUGUCUAUUGUUUUUGUGCUUUUCUAUUUGAUUUUCCUUUUUUGUUGAUUUCAAACUGACAAUGUCAUUUAUGUUAGUUAUGUAGUCAAUACUUUUUUUGUGCAAGUUGCAAUCAUUACUCGUUCACUGCUUCAUAUUUAAUGACCAAAAACAUCUUCUAGGUUUUCCCUGUUUGUAUCUAUGACUUGAUGCUUUUCAUUCAAACUUGUUUUACUUGUAACUUUCUAAUGGUGGGUUACCCUUCUGAAUUCUACCCAGAAUCUUUAUGGUUUUAUGUCAGAUACCAAAGGGGCUUGAAAAAUAAUACCAUGAGAGGUCUUCUGGGACUAAUCUUUUUUAGUAAAGCUGCCUAGUUUCCUAAAUCAUUAGAAAAUUGUGUGUUUUAGUGCUUAUCUGUGACUGAGAGUUUGACUCUGUUUCAUUUGAAACACAAUAUUUAAUCAUUCAAUGUAACUUCAGAGUGCUUUGAACAUUAUUGUUUUUGGAAAAUUAUUAAGUACUUUAGGAAUAUCCUCUCGCAUGAAUAGUAAAUCUCACCAUAAAUUUAAUUAGUGAACCUACCAUUCAUGUGAGAAGAGAAAAUAUUCAUUUAUGAUAUUUCAGAAGUACACAAUAAUUUUCCGUUGUGUUUUUGAUCUCUGGAGUUAUGCUUAACUUCUAAUUUGAAAAAGAUGCCAACCUUAAAAUUUUGGGUCACGAGUGUCUCUUGAGUGGAAUAAAUCUUGAAGCUAAGUUUUGACUGUACGAAAAAAUCUUAUUUUCCCAAAUAUUUUUUACCAUAAGAGUGGUUUUCCAAACAAUUCUUUAGAUUCAUAUACCGUGGGAUAAGACAGUUCUUCUUCUUCUUCUUCUUCUCUUGUGCCUUGUGGUUAAAGAUUGGUCACUCUAGAUGGAAUUGAAGGAGCAAAUAAGUUCUAGGAAAGCUUUAUGGUCCAGAAGCAGAUGUUUGGAGUGCUGGAGUGAUUCUAUACAUUCUAUUAAGUGGAGUGCCUCCCUUUUGGGCUGAAUCCGAGCAAGGGGUAUUCAAACAGGUCCUGCAGGUGGUCUUGACUUCACUGCUGAACCUUGGCCUAGUAUAUCCGAAAGUGCAAAAGAUUUAGUGAGGAAAAUGCUUGUUCGAGAUCCUAGGAGGCAGCCAACUGCACAUGACGUUUUGUGUGAGUCCUCCAUUGUUUUGUUUUGUUUUUUGAUCAGUUAAUUCCGAUAUGUGGGAAUUACGUGAUUAGGGAAUGGGGUUGAGUAGAAUCUAUUUCUAUUGUAAUUCAUAUAAGAUUUUAUAAUAUUUUCCAUUCAGGUUUUCCUUGUGA